Molecule: transfer RNA, 90 nt
Filed under: SAR116 cluster bacterium
Lineage: Bacteria; Pseudomonadati; Pseudomonadota; Alphaproteobacteria; Puniceispirillales (SeqCode)
Description: tRNA-Ser
Rfam family: tRNA
About the family: Transfer RNA (tRNA) molecules are approximately 80 nucleotides in length. Their secondary structure includes four short double-helical elements and three loops (D, anti-codon, and T loops). Further hydrogen bonds mediate the characteristic L-shaped molecular structure. tRNAs have two regions of fundamental functional importance: the anti-codon, which is responsible for specific mRNA codon recognition, and the 3' end, to which the tRNAs corresponding amino acid is attached (by aminoacyl-tRNA synthetases). tRNAs cope with the degeneracy of the genetic code in two manners: having more than one tRNA (with a specific anti-codon) for a particular amino acid; and 'wobble' base-pairing, i.e. permitting non-standard base-pairing at the 3rd anti-codon position.
Source: RNAcentral
GGGCGUUUGGCAGAGCGGUUGAAUGCGACGGUCUUGAAAACCGUUAAGGGUGAAAGCCCUUCCAGGGUUCGAAUCCCUGAGCGCCCGCCA